Molecule: ribosomal RNA, 274 nt
Filed under: uncultured bacterium
Lineage: Bacteria
Description: partial 16S ribosomal RNA
Rfam family: Bacterial small subunit ribosomal RNA
Source: RNAcentral
AUACGGAGGGCACGAGCGUUGUUCGGAAUUAUUGGGCGUAAAGGGCAUGUAGGCGGUAUUACAAGUCAGAUGUGAAAGACCAGGGCUCAACCCUGGAGCAGCAUAUGAGACUGUAGAACUAGAGUGUAAUAGAGGGUAGUGGAAUUUCCGGUGUAGCGGUGAAAUGCAUAGAUAUCGGAAGGAACACCAGUGGCGAAGGCGGCUACCUGGAUUAACACUGACGCUGAGGUGCGAAAGCGUGGGGAGCGAACCGGAUUAGAUACCCCGGUAGUCC